AUCAAGAACGAAAGUCAGAAGUUUUUUUUAACAGUCCGGGUGCAGUGGCUCAUGCUUGUAAUCCCAGCACUUUGGGAUAUGCAUACAUAGAUUUACAUACAUAUACAAAGGAGGCUGAGGCAGGGGAUCACCCGAGGUCGGGAGUUCGAGACCAGCCUGACCAACAUGGAGAAACCUCAUCUCUACUAAAAAUACAAAAAUUGGCAGGGCAUGGUGGCGCAUGCCUGUAAUCCCAGCUACUCGGGAGGCUAAGGCAGGAGAAUUGCUUGAACUCGGAAGGCAGAGGUCGAGGUGAGCCGAGAUGGUGCCACUGCACUCCAGCCUGGGCAAUAAGAGUGAAACUCCAACUCAAAAAAAAAAAAAAGAGAGAGAGAGAGAAAGAUGUAGAAUGACAAGAAGGAGAAAUUAGGCCUUCUAUUUUCAGACAGGCUGGACAAAUCCUGCAGAAGGAGUCAUUAUUGAACUUUGUGUCAGUUGGGUCCUCUGGGCAGCAGAUGCAGAGACAAAAUAAGAUUUUGGUGGUUGGGGGCAGUAACCCCUGUGAAAGACAAAUGAGGAAGGAAGCAGAAUUGGAUAGGAAAAGCCUCAAACCAUGAUGUAGCAUGUAUCAGAAUUUCCUUCCUUUUAAAGGCUGAAUAAUAUUCCAUUGUAUGAAUAUAUCCCAUUUUAUUUAUCUAUUCAUCCAUCGAUGGACAUGUGGGUCACUCUCACCUUCUGGCUAUUGUAGAUGAUGCUGCUAUGGUCAUGGGUGUACAAAUGGCUGCUUGUUACCCUGCUUCCAAUUUGUUUGUGUAUAUACCCAGAAGUGGAAUUGCUAGGUCACAUGGUACCCAUAUGGCUAUUUUUUAUUUUUUGAGGGAUAAAUAAAUAAAAUACUAUUUUCCAUAGCAUCUAAUAUAUACCAUGUUAAAUUCCCACCAACAGUGCACAAGGGCUCCAAUUCCUCCACAUGCUCACCAACACUUGUUAUUUUCUGGGUGUAUUAGUGCCUUCUCACGCUGCUAUAAAGAACUGCCCAAGACUGGGUAAUUUAUUAAGGAAAGAGGUUUAAUUGACUUACAGUUCUGCAGGGCUGGGGAGGCCUCAGGAAACUUACAAUCAUGGUGAAAGGGGAAGCAAAUAUGUCCUUCUUCACAUGGCAGCAGCAAGUAGAAGUCCUGAGCAAAGGGUUAAAGUCCCUUAUAUUAAUAAAACCAUCAGCCGGGCGUGGUGGCUCACGCAUUUUGUAAUCCCAGCACUUUGGGAGGCCGAGGCGGGUGGAUCACGAGGUCAGGAGACACAGACCAUCCUGGCUAACACAGUGAAACCCUGUCUCUACUAAAAAUAAAAUAAAAUAAAAUUAGCCGGGCGUAAUGGCGGGCGCCUGUAGUCCCAGCUACUCAGGAGGCUGAGGCAGGAGAAUGGCAUGAACCCGGAAGACAGAGCUUGCAGUGAGCCGAGAUUGCGCCACUGCACUCCAG
Molecule: long non-coding RNA, 1460 nt
Filed under: Homo sapiens (human)
Lineage: Eukaryota; Metazoa; Chordata; Mammalia; Primates; Hominidae
Description: HSALNT0359677
Source: RNAcentral